AUUUAAAUAGUUUAUAAAGAAUUUAAUAUUGAAGAUAUUAAGGUAACUUUUGUUUUUAAGUA
This 62-nucleotide transfer RNA is filed under the name Pelecotoma fennica. RNAcentral's name for it is "tRNA-Phe". Lineage: Eukaryota; Metazoa; Arthropoda; Insecta; Coleoptera; Ripiphoridae. The record is from RNAcentral.